AAUGAACGCUGGCGGCGUGCCUAAUACAUGCAAGUCGAGCGAACGGACGAGAAGCUUGCUUCUCUGAUGUUAGCGGCGGACGGGUGAGUAACACGUGGAUAACCUACCUAUAAGACUGGGAUAACUUCGGGAAACCGGAGCUAAUACCGGAUAAUAUUUUGAACCGCAUGGUUCAAAAGUGAAAGACGGUCUUGCUGUCACUUAUAGAUGGAUCCGCGCUGCAUUAGCUAGUUGGUAAGGUAACGGCUUACCAAGGCAACGAUGCAUAGCCGACCUGAGAGGGUGAUCGGCCACACUGGAACUGAGACACGGUCCAGACUCCUACGGGAGGCAGCAGUAGGGAAUCUUCCGCAAUGGGCGAAAGCCUGACGGAGCAACGCCGCGUGAGUGAUGAAGGUCUUCGGAUCGUAAAACUGUGUUAUUAGGGAAGAACAUAUGUGUAAGUAACUGUGCACAUCUUGACGGUACCUAAUCAGAAAGCCACGGCUAACUGCGUG
RNAcentral lists this ribosomal RNA (497 nucleotides) under uncultured bacterium. RNAcentral's name for it is "partial 16S ribosomal RNA". It matches the Rfam family "Bacterial small subunit ribosomal RNA", at positions 29 to 507 of the family's 1533-position model. The record is from RNAcentral.